CGAGUGCUUGCACUCAAUUGGAAAGAGGAGUGGCGGACGGGGGAGUAACACGUGGGUAACCUACCCAUCAGAGGGGGAUAACACUUGGAAACAGGUGCUAAUACCGCAUAACAGUUUAUGCCGCAUGGCAUAAGAGUGAAAGGCGCUUUCGGGUGUCGCUGAUGGAUGGACCCGCGGUGCAUUAGCUAGUUGGUGAGGUAACGGCUCACCAAGGCCACGAUGCAUAGCCGACCUGAGAGGGUGAUCGGCCACACUGGGACUGAGACACGGCCCAGACUCCUACGGGAGGCAGCAGUAGGGAAUCUUCGGCAAUGGACGAAAGUCUGACCGAGCAACGCCGCGUGAGUGAAGAAGGUUUUCGGAUCGUAAAACUCUGUUGUUAGAGAAGAACAAGGACGUUAGUAACUGAACGUCCCCUGACGGUAUCUAACCAGAAAGCCACGGCUAACUACGUGCCAGCAGCCGCGGUAAUACGUAGGUGGCAAGCGUUGUCCGGAUUUAUUGGGCGUAAAGCGAGCGCAGGCGGUUUCUUAAGUCUGAUGUGAAAGCCCCCGGCUCAACCGGGGAGGGUCAUUGGAAACUGGGAGACUUGAGUGCAGAAGAGAAAGUGGAAUUCCUGGUAAC
RNAcentral lists this ribosomal RNA (624 nucleotides) under bacterium. Its description in RNAcentral is "bacterial SSU rRNA". It matches the Rfam family "Bacterial small subunit ribosomal RNA", at positions 63 to 677 of the family's 1533-position model. The record is from RNAcentral.